Molecule: ribosomal RNA, 271 nt
Filed under: uncultured beta proteobacterium
Lineage: Bacteria; Pseudomonadati; Pseudomonadota; Betaproteobacteria
Description: partial 16S ribosomal RNA
Rfam family: Bacterial small subunit ribosomal RNA
Source: RNAcentral
GGGGAAUUUUGGACAAUGGGGGAAACCCUGAUCCAGCAAUGCCGCGUGAGUGAAGAAGGCCUUCGGGUUGUAAAGCUCUUUUGUCAGGGAAGAAACACCGGCUCUAACACAGUCCGGGAAUGACGGUACCUGAAGAAUAAGCACCGGCUAACUACGUGCCAGCAGCCGCGGUAAUACGUAGGGUGCGAGCGUUAAUCGGAAUUACUGGGCGUAAAGCGUGCGCAGGCGGUUAUACAAGACAGGCGUGAAAUCCCCGGGCUUAACCUGGGAA